Molecule: unclassified non-coding RNA, 795 nt
Filed under: Hevea brasiliensis (rubber tree)
Lineage: Eukaryota; Viridiplantae; Streptophyta; Magnoliopsida; Malpighiales; Euphorbiaceae
Source: RNAcentral
AAAAAAAAAAACUGAGAGACAAUUAGAGUUAUGAUGAUAUACAAACUGACAUGCAAUAGCUUCCAGAGCAUGUGGAAUAAACAUUUCUUCAGAAAUGUUGCUGCUCCUGCCCUUUUUCAUCAUUGCUUGUCUAAUUCAAAUAUAACUAGAUGCACUAUAUUCUCUUUCAAAUUAGGAAAACAGCCCAAGAAGAAAAUGUUUUAUUAAGAAAUUUUUGACAUGUUGGCCCAAGAAUGUUUAUUUCAAUGUCACGUAACACUUUGAUUCCCAAGAUUUAGGCUCUAUUUGUUACACCAAAAAUAUUUUCCUAAAAAAACAUUUUUCGCACUUUUUGGCAUUUGGAGCACUAAGGAAAAUUGAUCACCAAAAAUGUUUUCUUCGUCAAAAGGGAAAACUAGCCCAUUUUUAUGGAAAAUGAAUCCCUCUUUUUAAAAGAGGAAGUCAUUUCCAAAUUUUGCUAACUUGUUAAAAGGAUGAAGAAAAUUAUAUAUGUAUGACAUAAACCAAUACCCAUUAGUUUACUGGUUGCAACUUGACCACUGGUCAUCAAUGGCGGCCACCAGUGACUGAUGGUGGCUGCCACAAUUUACAAUUAUUAUAAUUUUUUUUUGCACAUAUUCAACAACAAAAUAAUAAAAAAUAUAAAAACUUUUAUAUUUUAAAUAUUUUCAUAGUAUCAAAAAUUCCAAGAAAAUUAACAUUUUUCUUAUGCUCCAGACAAUAGAAAAUAAGUUUCCUUUGCUUUUCAGCAUUGCAACCAAACAACGAAAAAUAAGUUAUUUUCUCAAAAAAUGU